Non-coding RNA from Glycine soja, 104 nucleotides. The record is from Rfam. NCBI's taxonomy places the organism in Eukaryota, Viridiplantae, Streptophyta, Magnoliopsida, Fabales, Fabaceae.
UGCAAAAGUAGACACGGCGUGAUAUUGGUACGGCUCAUCUUAAUUCAACCAUUAUAUCAACAAUUGAGACGAGCCGAAUCAAUAUCACUCUUGUUUGCUUCAUU